AGGGACUUAGGAUAACAUUCAAACCAAAGGCCUUCAAAGCCUUAAACAAGAGACACACCUCUUAGCCCCUG
This 71-nucleotide transfer RNA is filed under the name Ctenophorus reticulatus. RNAcentral describes it as "tRNA-Trp". It matches the Rfam family "tRNA". Rfam says of the family: Transfer RNA (tRNA) molecules are approximately 80 nucleotides in length. Their secondary structure includes four short double-helical elements and three loops (D, anti-codon, and T loops). Lineage: Eukaryota; Metazoa; Chordata; Lepidosauria; Squamata; Agamidae. The record is from RNAcentral.